UUCAGUGACACCAUUUUAAAGAUUUUUCUAUAUUAUUUGGUGCAAGUCUAUAUCUUCAAUCAAUAUAUUCAAAGAGGAAUUACUAUUUACAGUGAAUAUAAGCAGGAAUACAAUAGUAAUAAUUAUGUUUUGUGUGUUACCAACAGCAGUCUUCAGUAAAUUGGUUGCAAAUCAACCUGAUGAGACUGUUGACUGAUACUUUUAUGAUUAUAUAUGAUGUAAGUGAAGUUGAAUCCAUUGUAAUGCCUUGUCAUGUCAGAAGCCACUAGAUUUUAAUUGUUAUUAAGCGUCAUAAAUCAAUUUUUUAAUUUUGAUUCUAUUGAAAAAUAUUUUACUGUGACAAAACAAGCAAGUGCUGGUAUGAAUCAAAAUUUUAUUUGAAUUAAUGUUUUGUUGUUCAAAUUGAAUAGUGUGUUGUCAAAAAAGGUAGGGGUGCACACACAGAAGUUUAACUUUUCAGACUAUACAAACAUACUAUGAAGUGGUAUGUACAAACUUACAAAUUUUUGUUUAUUAUUGCAACAGUUUGUACCCAAACAAGACAGUUCCAUUGACUGUGGUGCUUAUCUGUGCAAAUUAUGCAUAUCUAAUAUGUUAUUGUUAAAAUUAAUUGACUUUUAGUUUGCCUAUACAUGUACAUCAUACUGUGUUGUGAUGGAGUGUUCU
Amphimedon queenslandica is the source of this 666-nucleotide long non-coding RNA. RefSeq lists it as uncharacterized. The transcript is spliced from 4 exons. Lineage: Eukaryota; Metazoa; Porifera; Demospongiae; Haplosclerida; Niphatidae. The record is from RefSeq and is a predicted model, not a curated record.